RNAcentral lists this ribosomal RNA (483 nucleotides) under uncultured Rhodococcus sp. RNAcentral describes it as "bacterial SSU rRNA". It matches the Rfam family "Bacterial small subunit ribosomal RNA", at positions 898 to 1382 of the family's 1533-position model. Lineage: Bacteria; Bacillati; Actinomycetota; Actinomycetes; Mycobacteriales; Nocardiaceae. The record is from RNAcentral.
AACUUAAAGGAAUUGACGGGGGCCCGCACAAGCGGCGGAGCAUGUGGAUUAAUUCGAUGCAACGCGAAGAACCUUACCUGGGUUUGACAUACACGGAAAACCGUAGAGAUACGGUCCCCCUUGUGGUCGGUGUACAGGUGGUGCAUGGCUGUCGUCAGCUCGUGUCGUGAGAUGUUGGGUUAAGUCCCGCAACGAGCGCAACCCUUGUCUUAUGUUGCCAGCACGUGAUGGUGGGGACUCGUAAGAGACUGCCGGGGUCAACUCGGAGGAAGGUGGGGACGACGUCAAGUCAUCAUGCCCCUUAUGUCCAGGGCUUCACACAUGCUACAAUGGCCAGUACAGAGGGCUGCGAGACCGUGAGGUGGAGCGAAUCCCUUAAAGCUGGUCUCAGUUCGGAUCGGGGUCUGCAACUCGACCCCGUGAAGUCGGAGUCGCUAGUAAUCGCGGAUCAGCCAAGCCGCGGUGAAUACGUUCCCGGGCCUU